GACGAACCGUACAAACGUUAUUCGGAAUCACUGGGCUUAAAGGGUGCGUAGGCGGCCUUGCAAGUUGGGUGUGAAAUCCCUCGGCUCAACCGAGGAAUUGCGCUCAAAACUGCCGGGCUCGAGGGACACAGAGGUGAGCGGAACUUAGGGUGGAGCGGUGAAAUGCGUUGAUAUCCUAAGGAACACCAGGAGCGAAAGCGGCUCACUGGGUGUCUUCUGACGCUGAGGCACGAAAGCUAGGGGAG
Molecule: ribosomal RNA, 245 nt
Filed under: uncultured bacterium
Lineage: Bacteria
Description: partial 16S ribosomal RNA
Rfam family: Bacterial small subunit ribosomal RNA
Source: RNAcentral